Molecule: ribosomal RNA, 253 nt
Filed under: uncultured bacterium
Lineage: Bacteria
Description: partial 16S ribosomal RNA
Rfam family: Bacterial small subunit ribosomal RNA
Source: RNAcentral
UACGUAGGUGGCAAGCGUUGUCCGGAAUUAUUGGGCGUAAAGCGCGCGCAGGCGGUCCUUUAAGUCUGAUGUGAAAGCCCACGGCUCAACCGUGGAGGGUCAUUGGAAACUGGGGGACUUGAGUGCAGGAGAGAAGAGUGGAAUUCCACGUGUAGCGGUGAAAUGCGUAGAGAUGUGGAGGAACACCAGUGGCGAAGGCGACUCUUUGGCCUGUAACUGACGCUGAGACGCGAAAGCUAGGGGAGCGAACGGG